Molecule: long non-coding RNA, 2120 nt
Filed under: Helianthus annuus (common sunflower)
Lineage: Eukaryota; Viridiplantae; Streptophyta; Magnoliopsida; Asterales; Asteraceae
Description: hypothetical non coding rna
Source: RNAcentral
AUGUUAUUAACUAAUAUUGCUCAGUAUAAUUGGUGGCUGGAUCCUGGUCAGUCACGCCUCCAAGCGGUGGACGUGUAGAAAUCAAUCACUGGGAUUGCACUAUUUAAAAUACGCACCCAAAGGUGAGUGUCACUAAACCCUUCUUUUUACUGCUUUCUAUAUAUUUUGGGGGUAGAACACGUCGUUAAAAGGGUUUAAUAAUGUUUUCGAAAUAAAACAUACCUUUUAAUAUAAAAUAUAUAUUUUCUCUGAAAAUAUAUGAAAUUUGAUAAGUCAUAUGUUUCGAAGUAAAAACGUUUUUGAUGAAUAAAUGUUGGACAUUGGGAUGAUACGGUAUUUCCUAGGCGAAACAUGACCGUAUAGUUGGGACGGAUGUCGGCCUGUGUCACACCCCGGCCGCGUCAAAACAACCAAAAGCCGCGGCGGAAACGCCGGGGAGUGAGGUGACAGAAUUAUUGUUUCAACAAGCAUGGCAAACAAAGUUUUGUAUAAUUAAAAUUAAAGUUACAUUGUCUUUUGUUGGUCCGGUAUUCGCUCCGAAAUCGAGCGUAUCGACACGUUCGACGUGCGGAAUCCGUGAACGUGCGUGACCGAACACACGAGAACGUAAUAAUGACGUGAUUCUAUUGAUAUGAUGUCGUGUACAAAGCCGUGAAUCACGUAGAGAGACUUUCUCUCUCUAGACUUUCUCUCCCUAAAUCUCCAAAUGAGCCAAAAGUCUCUAAACUAAACCCUAAGUCUCCUAUUUAUAGGCACAAGGUUAUAAGGGAUUUCCCCUUAUUUACAAUAAUGCCACGUUACCUAUUUCUUACAAAUUACAAUAUAAAGCCUAUUUUACUUCUAUUUCUGCUACGGUUCCGAUUCACGAAGGCGAUAGACAUUCUUCACUAACAGACUCCCCCUUAGAUAUUUCCGCAGUCAAUCCGUAGUCAAACUCGUAGCAACUUUCUUCUUGAAGGUUUGACGGUUUCAACAACCAUAGACUCCCUCUUUCUCAAACAGAAUCCCCGUGGAUCUGUUUACGAGCUUCAGUUGCUCCCCCUCUCGCUUAGACUCUUUUUCUUCAGGCUCCCCCUUUCGUCAAGCUUCCGUGCUUUUGGGAACGACACCUGGAUUCCGAUUACAAGCUCUUCCAGGAACGAUACCUGGCUCUUUGAAUCCACGCUUUCGUUUGUGUUGAGCUCGUCUUCAGACUCCCCCUUAGACUCAGCUGUCGGGAUCGUAGUCUGGCCUUCACAAGUUCACAAGUUCAGGAUCAAUUCCUGGCUUUGUUCUGCACCUGCUCAGGAUUUGAAACCUGGUUAACCUGCACAUCCUCUACCGCAACAUAAGUUUCACAAAUUUAUAACUGUUGGAUUUAAGAAACUUACUGGUAGAAAUCAUUCAUUCAUUAAUCUGUAAAGUUACAUCAAGUUCAAAUGAAUGACCUUGAUUAACAAUCCACACAAUCUUUCAAAACAUUUGUAAAUAACAUUCAAUGUUUUCAACAUAUUCUCCCAAUCCUGUUCAUCAUGUUUAGCACUCUGAAUUUUGAAUAUCAGCUCUUCAUCAUCAGCUGUCGAAAAUCUUUUUGUAUUUUCAAAAUUUUAUGCUAAAACACUCCGAAAAUCUUUUUGGAUUUUUUGUUGUUUUUAGAGAAAUGUAGUAAAGAAAUAUUUACAAUCAAUAUUUUUGUGAGUUUGUGUAAGAGGAUCAUAUCAUUUCAUGAGACAAAUCACUAGCACCGUUAAGCUUAAAUCAUUUUAAGUUCUAAACGAUUCACAUAGAUUGACGAUAUAGUGGUCCUCUUAAACUCAAUCUAAAAACUUUCGAAAUGCUUACCGAUACGUUUAAGGUAUAUUAAUUUUGCACUAAGUUCUUAUGGACCCUACGAUCUCAGCAUAUCCCCUCAUCAUGCAAUACACUAACUCAAAUAACGCCUUUAAACUUUCAUCAACGGUGAUUUGUGCGAAAAUAACGCAGAAUGUUUAAACAUUAACAAUCAGGUCGAUACUUCCGUAUACGCAGAGAAAGUCCAAUGUUUAAACAAAAUAAGAAAAUAAAACAAGUUGAAGUUGUUUAGGCUUUAACCACCAGGUAGAUACUCCCGUAUACGCAGAGGUGAUCCAAAGCUUAAACGA